CUUUUUUUAUGUUUAAAUUUCAAUUGCUUGUUCCUUGGAUCGAAAUGGUUUGAUGGGGUUGGAGGGAUUAGGGAUGGAUAGAUGUGAUGGCUUCGGUUUUAUUACUAAAAAUGUUCUUGAGUUAUGGAUCCGGGGCUAAAGGAAAGUACAGCGGGGAAAAGAAAAGGUUGUUCCCACUAAGAAAAUUAGAUAGUAUAUAAAGAGGAAAGAGGAAGGGGUAAAGUUCACAUUUUUGUGUAACCAAAACAAGAUCAAGUUGAUAGUUGAGCAACAUUGUACAUUCAUGUAUGGGUCAAGGUGGCUAUUAAAUGUAUGUCUUAGAAGUCAAAUUGAUCGAUACUUGUAAAACUCUCUUAAGACAUAUUUUAUAAUAUUAAUUUAUAAAUUAAAAAAAUCAUAUUUAUUUCCAUUCAGAUCUGUGUUAUUAAGUAUCUUUGAAUCGUCCAUUGAGUUAAUGGAUAUAAUGACACAUAUUCUCAAAAAUUAAGAAUUUGAGAUAUAUGUCAUUAUAAUUAAUUCAUAAAUUACUUCCGAUCAUAGAAUCAUCAUGAAGACGGUGUUUGAUAUAGAGAGAUUGGUGCACUAUCACUUUCUUAGGAUAGAUGAGUCUUGAAUUUACGAUGUAGAGAUACCAGAGCGAG
RNAcentral lists this long non-coding RNA (641 nucleotides) under Elaeis guineensis (African oil palm). Its description in RNAcentral is "long non-coding RNA (EGUI_LNC012125)". The record is from RNAcentral. Lineage: Eukaryota; Viridiplantae; Streptophyta; Magnoliopsida; Arecales; Arecaceae.